AUGGAUCAGGAGCUGAUCGAGCAUCUUGAGGCCAAAGUGAGUGCUGACAGCGCGAGAUCUCACCCUCUCAUCGAUUUGUUCAUACCAACCAUCGACAACGAGCACGACAUAUGCUACACCCAUCUUGAGAAACUUCCAGGUAUCACACUGAGUGGCCUAAGCAAGCAUUUCUUCUAG
Molecule: ribosomal RNA, 177 nt
Filed under: Triticum aestivum (bread wheat)
Lineage: Eukaryota; Viridiplantae; Streptophyta; Magnoliopsida; Poales; Poaceae
Description: partial small subunit ribosomal RNA
Source: RNAcentral